This 345-nucleotide unclassified non-coding RNA is filed under the name soil metagenome. Its description in RNAcentral is "partial contains 5.8S ribosomal RNA, internal transcribed spacer 2, and large subunit ribosomal RNA". The stretch from base 1 to 120 matches the Rfam family "5.8S ribosomal RNA", at positions 35 to 154 of the family's 154-position model. The record is from RNAcentral.
GAUGAAGAACGCAGCGAAAUGCGAUACGUAAUGUGAAUUGCAGAAUUCAGUGAAUCAUCGAGUCUUUGAACGCACAUCGCGCCCUCUGGUAUUCCGGAGGGCAUGCCUGUCCGAGCGUCAUUGCUGCCCUCAAGCACGGCUUGUGUGUUGGGCUCCGUCCCCCGAUCCCGGGGGACGGGCCCGAAAGGCAGCGGCGGCACCGCGUCCGGUCCUCGAGCGUAUGGGGCUUUGUCACCCGCUCUGUAGGCCCGGCCGGCGCUUGCCGAUCAACCAAAUUUUUAUCCAGGUUGACCUCGGAUCAGGUAGGGAUACCCGCUGAACUUAAGCAUAUCAAUAAGCGGAGGA